Molecule: ribosomal RNA, 468 nt
Filed under: uncultured bacterium
Lineage: Bacteria
Description: partial 16S ribosomal RNA
Rfam family: Bacterial small subunit ribosomal RNA
Source: RNAcentral
GACGAACGCUGGCGGCGUGCUUAACACAUGCAAGUCGAACGGAAAGGCCCUGCUUUUGUGGGGUGCUCGAGUGGCGAACGGGUGAGUAACACGUGAGUAACCUGCCCUUGACUUUGGGAUAACUUCAGGAAACUGGGGCUAAUACCGGAUAGGAGCUCCUGCUGCAUGGUGGGGGUUGGAAAGUUUCGGCGGUUGGGGAUGGACUCGCGGCUUAUCAGCUUGUUGGUGGGGUAGUGGCUUACCAAGGCUUUGACGGGUAGCCGGCCUGAGAGGGUGACCGGCCACAUUGGGACUGAGAUACGGCCCAGACUCCUACGGGAGGCAGCAGUGGGGAAUAUUGCACAAUGGGCGGAAGCCUGAUGCAGCAACGCCGCGGGCGGUAUGACGGCCUUCGGGGUGUAAACCGCUUUCGCCUGUGACGAAGCGUGAGUGACGGUAAUGGGUAAAGAAGCACCGGCUAACUACGUG